GUAGGUGGCAAGCGUUGUCCGGAAUUAUUGGGCGUAAAGCGCGCGCAGGCGGUUCUUUAAGUCUGAUGUGAAAGCCCACGGCUCAACCGUGGAGGGUCAUUGGAAACUGGAGAACUUGAGUACAGAAGAGGAAAGCGGAAUUCCACGUGUAGCGGUGAAAUGCGUAGAGAUGUGGAGGAACACCAAUGGCGAAGGCGGCUUUCUGGUCUGUAACUGACGCUGAGGCGCGAAAGCGUGGGGAGCAAACAGGGAUUAGAUACCCUGGUAGUCCACGCCGUAAACGAUGAGUGCUAAGUGUUAGGGGGUUUCCGCCCCCUUAGUGCUGCAGCUAACGCAUUAAGCACUCCGCCUGGGGAGUACGGCCGCAAGGCUG
Molecule: ribosomal RNA, 373 nt
Filed under: uncultured organism
Description: partial 16S ribosomal RNA
Rfam family: Bacterial small subunit ribosomal RNA
Source: RNAcentral